GCCCUUAUAAAGCACCAAGGAGCAGGUAUCAGGCACAACCCGUUAGCCCAAAACACCUUGCUACGCCACACCCACACGGGCACCCAGCAGUGAUAAACAUUAAGCUAUGAGUGAAAGCCAACUUAAGCUCGACUUAGUUAUGAUUAUUCGGGUCGGUAAACCUCGUGCCAGCCACCGCGGUUAUACGAGGGACCCAAAACAACGGACACCGGCGUAAAUUGUGACUAGAGCAUCUACUUAUAACAUUGGGAAAUAAAUAAAAACUCAACAGUAAAACCUGAGUUAAAAGAAAUAUAUUCUCCCAACUACAAAGGAACUUGAACCCACGAAGACUAAGAAACAAACUAGGAUUAGAUACCCUACUAUGCUUAGUUGUCAACACGAUACCAAAAAACAUCGGUAUCCGCCAGAAAAUUACACGCGAAAAGCUUAAAACUCAAAGGACUUGGCGGUGCUCCGUACUCGCCUUAGAGGAGCCUGUCCUAUAAUCGAUAACCCACGCUUUACCUUACCAUCUUUUGUAAAAACAGCCUAUAUACCGCCGUCGCAAACUUACCCCGUGAGGGUAUAACAGUAAGUAAAAUAGUAACGCACGAAUACGUCAGGUCAAGGUGUAGCUAAUAAGAUGGAAGAGAUGGGCUACAUUUUCUAAAACAGAAUAUACGGCAAAGAACAUUGAAACAUGCUCUAAAAGGUGGAUUUAAUAGUAAGAUAGAAAA
RNAcentral lists this ribosomal RNA (719 nucleotides) under Liolaemus darwinii. RNAcentral describes it as "partial 12S ribosomal RNA". It matches the Rfam family "Bacterial small subunit ribosomal RNA", at positions 329 to 1350 of the family's 1533-position model. Lineage: Eukaryota; Metazoa; Chordata; Lepidosauria; Squamata. The record is from RNAcentral.